AGCAGCCGCGGUAAUUCCAGCUCCAAUAGCGUAUAUUAAAGUUGCUGCAGUUAAAAAGCUCGUAGUUGAAUUUCGGGACUAAUAUGUCGGUCGUGCCUCGGUACGUACUGGUUUAUUGGUUUCUCCUUUCUGAAGAACCAUGAUGUCAUUUAUUUGGUGUCGUGGGGAAUCAGGACUGUUACUUUGAAAAAAUUAGAGUGUUUAAAGCAGGCUCACGCUUGAAUACAUUAGCAUGGAAUAAUGAAAUAGGACGUUUGAUUCUAUUUUGUUGGUUUCUAGGAUCGACGUAAUGAUUAAUAGGGAUAGUUGGGGGCAUUAGUAUUCAAUUGUCAGAGGUGAAAUUCUUGGAUUUAUUGAAGACUAACUACUGCGAAAGCAUUCGCCAAGGAUGUUUUCAUUAAUCAAGAACGAAAGUUAGGGGAUCGAAGACGAUCAGAUACCGUCGUAGUCUUAACCAUAAACGAUGCCGACUAGGGAUCGGAUGAUGUUAAUUUUUUAAUGACUC
Molecule: ribosomal RNA, 505 nt
Filed under: uncultured Glomeromycotina
Lineage: Eukaryota; Fungi; Glomeromycota
Description: SSU rRNA
Rfam family: Eukaryotic small subunit ribosomal RNA
Source: RNAcentral